Molecule: ribosomal RNA, 2339 nt
Filed under: Salmonella enterica
Lineage: Bacteria; Pseudomonadati; Pseudomonadota; Gammaproteobacteria; Enterobacterales; Enterobacteriaceae
Description: partial 23S ribosomal RNA
Rfam family: Bacterial large subunit ribosomal RNA
Source: RNAcentral
UCAGCGACUUAUAUUCUGUAGCAAGGUUAACCGUAUAGGGGAGCCGUAGGGAAACCGAGUCUUAACCGGGCGUUAAGUUGCAGGGUAUAGACCCGAAACCCGGUGAUCUAGCCAUGGGCAGGUUGAAGGUUGGGUAACACUAACUGGAGGACCGAACCGACUAAUGUUGAAAAAUUAGCGGAUGACCUGUGGCUGGGGGUGAAAGGCCAAUCAAACCGGGAGAUAGCUGGUUCUCCCCGAAAGCUAUUUAGGUAGCGCCUCGUGAAUUCAUCUCCGGGGGUAGAGCACUGUUUCGGCUAGGGGGCCAUCCCGGCUUACCAACCCGAUGCAAACUGCGAAUACCGGAGAAUGUUAUCACGGGAGACACACGGCGGGUGCUAACGUCCGUCGUGAAGAGGGAAACAACCCAGACCGCCAGCUAAGGUCCCAAAGUCAUGGUUAAGUGGGAAACGAUGUGGGAAGGCCCAGACAGCCAGGAUGUUGGCUUAGAAGCAGCCAUCAUUUAAAGAAAGCGUAAUAGCUCACUGGUCGAGUCGGCCUGCGCGGAAGAUGUAACGGGGCUAAACCAUGCACCGAAGCUGCGGCAGCGACGCUGAUGCGUUGUUGGGUAGGGGAGCGUUCUGUAAGCCUGUGAAGGUGGCCUGUGAGGGUUGCUGGAGGUAUCAGAAGUGCGAAUGCUGACAUAAGUAACGAUAAAGCGGGUGAAAAGCCCGCUCGCCGGAAGACCAAGGGUUCCUGUCCAACGUUAAUCGGGGCAGGGUGAGUCGACCCCUAAGGCGAGGCCGAAAGGCGUAGUCGAUGGGAAACGGGUUAAUAUUCCCGUACUUGGUGUUACUGCGAAGGGGGGACGGAGAAGGCUAUGUUGGCCGGGCGACGGUUGUCCCGGUUUAAGCGUGUAGGUGUGUGUUCCAGGUAAAUCCGGUUCACUUUAACACUGAGGCGUGAUGACGAGGCACUACGGUGCUGAAGCAACAAAUGCCCUGCUUCCAGGAAAAGCCUCUAAGCAUCAGGUAACAUCAAAUCGUACCCCAAACCGACACAGGUGGUCAGGUAGAGAAUACCAAGGCGCUUGAGAGAACUCGGGUGAAGGAACUAGGCAAAAUGGUGCCGUAACUUCGGGAGAAGGCACGCUGACACGUAGGUGAAGUGAUUUACUCAUGGAGCUGAAGUCAGUCGAAGAUACCAGCUGGCUGCAACUGUUUAUUAAAAACACAGCACUGUGCAAACACGAAAGUGGACGUAUACGGUGUGACGCCUGCCCGGUGCCGGAAGGUUAAUUGAUGGGGUCAGCGCAAGCGAAGCUCCUGAUCGAAGCCCCGGUAAACGGCGGCCGUAACUAUAACGGUCCUAAGGUAGCGAAAUUCCUUGUCGGGUAAGUUCCGACCUGCACGAAUGGCGUAAUGAUGGCCAGGCUGUCUCCACCCGAGACUCAGUGAAAUUGAACUCGCUGUGAAGAUGCAGUGUACCCGCGGCAAGACGGAAAGACCCCGUGAACCUUUACUAUAGCUUGACACUGAACAUUGAGCCUUGAUGUGUAGGAUAGGUGGGAGGCUUUGAAGCGUGGACGCCAGUCUGCAUGGAGCCGGCCUUGAAAUACCACCCUUUAAUGUUUGAUGUUCUAACGUGGACCCGUGAUCCGGGUUGCGGACAGUGUCUGGUGGGUAGUUUGACUGGGGCGGUCUCCUCCUAAAGAGUAACGGAGGAGCACGAAGGUUGGCUAAUCCUGGUCGGACAUCAGGAGGUUAGUGCAAUGGCAUAAGCCAGCUUGACUGCGAGCGUGACGGCGCGAGCAGGUGCGAAAGCAGGUCAUAGUGAUCCGGUGGUUCUGAAUGGAAGGGCCAUCGCUCAACGGAUAAAAGGUACUCCGGGGAUAACAGGCUGAUACCGCCCAAGAGUUCAUAUCGACGGCGGUGUUUGGCACCUCGAUGUCGGCUCAUCACAUCCUGGGGCUGAAGUAGGUCCCAAGGGUAUGGCUGUUCGCCAUUUAAAGUGGUACGCGAGCUGGGUUUAGAACGUCGUGAGACAGUUCGGUCCCUAUCUGCCGUGGGCGCUGGAGAACUGAGGGGGGCUGCUCCUAGUACGAGAGGACCGGAGUGGACGCAUCACUGGUGUUCGGGUUGUCAUGCCAAUGGCACUGCCCGGUAGCUAAAUGCGGAAGAGAUAAGUGCUGAAAGCAUCUAAGCACGAAACUUGCCCCGAGAUGAGUUCUCCCUGAGACUUAGAGUCUCCUGAAGGAACGUUGAAGACGACGACGUUGAUAGGCCGGGUGUGUAAGCGCAGCGAUGCGUUGAGCUAACCGGUACUAAUGAACCGUGAGGCUUAACCUUACAACGCCGAAG